This 425-nucleotide ribosomal RNA is filed under the name uncultured bacterium. RNAcentral describes it as "partial 16S ribosomal RNA". It matches the Rfam family "Bacterial small subunit ribosomal RNA", at positions 354 to 796 of the family's 1533-position model. The record is from RNAcentral.
GUGGGGAAUAUUGGACAAUGGGCGCAAGCCUGAUCCAGCCAUGCCGCGUGAGUGAUGAAGGCCUUAGGGUUGUAAAGCUCUUUCAGUGGGGACGAUAAUGACGGUACCCACAGAAGAAGCCCCGGCUAACUUCGUGCCAGCAGCCGCGGUAAUACGAAGGGGGCUAGCGUUGUUCGGAUUUACUGGGCGUAAAGCGCACGUAGGCGGAUCGUUAAGUCGGGGGUGAAAUCCUGGGGCUCAACUCCAGAACUGCCUUCGAUACUGGCGAUCUUGAGUCCGGAAGAGGUGAGUGGAACUCCUAGUGUAGAGGUGGAAUUCGUAGAUAUUAGGAAGAACACCAGUGGCGAAGGCGGCUCACUGGUCCGGUACUGACGCUGAGGUGCGAAAGCGUGGGGAGCAAACAGGAUUAGAAACCCUUGUAGUCC